This 443-nucleotide ribosomal RNA is filed under the name uncultured bacterium. RNAcentral describes it as "partial 16S ribosomal RNA". It matches the Rfam family "Bacterial small subunit ribosomal RNA", at positions 338 to 795 of the family's 1533-position model. The record is from RNAcentral.
CCUACGGGAGGCAGCAGUGGGGAAUAUUGGGCAAUGGGCGCAAGCCUGACCCAGCAACGCCGCGUGAAGGAAGAAGGCUUUCGGGUUGUAAACUUCUUUUGUCAGGGACGAAGCAUGUGACGGUACCUGACUAAUAAGCUACGGCUAACUACGUGCCAGCAGCCGCGGUAAUACGUAGGUGGCAAGCGUUAUACGGAUUUACUGGGGGUGAAGGGCGUGUAGGCGGGGAAGCAAGUCAGAUGUGAAAACCACGGGCUCAACCCGUGGCCUGCAUUUGAAACUGUUGAACUUGAGUGCAGAAGAGGAGAGUGGAAUUCCAUGUGUAGCGGUGGAAUGCGUAGAUAUAUGGAAGAACACCAGUGGCGAAGGCAGCUCACUGGACUGCAACUGACACUGAGGCACGAAAGUGUGGGUAUCAAACAGGAUUAGAUACCCGAGUAGUC